GAAUCAAUUGAAGAUGCGGGCCGUUGUGUUUGGGUUAUCGUUCGGGACGACGAGGUGUGGGUUCGACUCCCACUGGAUUCU
RNAcentral lists this transfer RNA (81 nucleotides) under Chloroflexota bacterium. RNAcentral's name for it is "tRNA-Asp". The record is from RNAcentral. Lineage: Bacteria; Bacillati; Chloroflexota.